This is a non-coding RNA of Capsicum annuum, 104 nucleotides long. The record is from Rfam. NCBI's taxonomy places the organism in Eukaryota, Viridiplantae, Streptophyta, Magnoliopsida, Solanales, Solanaceae.
GUCCUUUCAGGGACAUCUGAUAAAAUUAAAACAAUACAAAGAAUAUUAGAAUAGCCUUCCACAAGGAUAACAUAAGCAAACUGGAAAAUGGUUUAGAUAUUUUU